This is a long non-coding RNA of Mercenaria mercenaria, 773 nucleotides long. RefSeq lists it as uncharacterized. Lineage: Eukaryota; Metazoa; Mollusca; Bivalvia; Venerida; Veneridae. The transcript has 4 exons. The record is from RefSeq and is a predicted model, not a curated record.
AAUCAUAAGAUAUAACAGAUAUUAUAUGACGUCUGAAAACAAUGUAAUAAUUAUUAUGCGUGAACAAUACGUCUGUAGUAUUACAGAAAAUUAACUACUUCACAUUUCUUUUAGGCGUGUAAACUGAGAUUUUGGUAUCUUGUAUCUUUUGUCAUAAGUUUUUGAUUUAUCUGCGAAAUCAUUACAAACAACUUAUUGUCAGAAGGGCUUUGGCCUCCUUACCGUGCGACAACAAAAAGUAAACCAUCAGGACAUUUAUUGCAGCUAUAUCUCUUAAGACAUUUGAAAGUUAAAUACUGACUGACUGAAUAAAAGACUAUAUGUGAUGGAAACACAUGAGAAGUACUGGAUUUUACUAUUGUUUAAUUGAAAAUUGAAAAGCGUUCGUUGUGGUGUACUGAGUAGACAAUGCACUUUCAAAUGACACCCAAAUAAUAGAAUCAACUUGCCUAUUUGUAAACUGGAUACCUAAAACGAUGUGAGUAGUUAAUUGUAAGAGUUGCAUGUGAACGAAUAAAAACAGAUUAAAUGCGACAUUCGAUAUAGGCAGCUGAUGUACAUUAAAGCAUCACAACUGUAACAAAUGACAUGCAGUAGAAGUUUGCACAAAAGAAUAUGUGGUUAGAAAUCAUCAUCACUCUCCUGCUUGGCGGGCUUUUCUAUAUACUAGUAGCUCAGCGAAACUCAAAACCUACCAAAAGAUUCAGGGUAACAAACAGUAAAAGGGAUAGAACAGUACUUUUGAAGUACACUUCCUUUGAAUCUUUCUCAGC